CAGUCGCCGCGGGAAUACGGAGGGGGCUAGCGUUGUUCGGAAUCACUGGGCGUAAAGCGCACGUAGGCGGCUUGGUAAGUUAGAGGUGAAAGCCCGGGGCUCAACCUCGGAGUUGCAUCCGAUACUACCAUGCUAGAGUACUGAAGAGGUGACUAGAAUUCUCGGUGUAGCAGUGAAAUGCGUAGAUAUCGAGAGGAAUACCAAAGGCGAAGGCAGGUCACUGGGCAGUUACUGACACUGAGGCACGAAGGCUAGGGGAGCAAACGGGAUUAGAUACCCGAGUAGUCCCUGUCUCUUAUAC
RNAcentral lists this ribosomal RNA (301 nucleotides) under uncultured bacterium. RNAcentral describes it as "partial 16S ribosomal RNA". It matches the Rfam family "Bacterial small subunit ribosomal RNA", at positions 509 to 807 of the family's 1533-position model. The record is from RNAcentral.